CGGUAAUUCCAGCUCCAAUAGCGUAUACUAAAGUUGUUGCAGUUAAAAAGCUCGUAGUUGGAUUUCUGCGGGGGUGGGGCGCCCUGGGCUUUUAGUCUAUGGAGCAGCAACUCCUCCGCAUCCUGCCGCGAACCACGCUACCAUUCGUUUGGUGGCGUCUGGGGACCGGCUCGUUUACUUUGAGAAAAAUAGAGUGUUCAAAGCAGGCCUGAUGCCUUGAAUAAUGUAGCAUGGAAUAAUGAUAAAGGACUUUGGUUCUAUUUUGUUGGUGUUCGGGACCGAAGUAAUGAUUGAUAGGGACAGUUGGGGGCGUCUGUAUUCUGAAGCAAGAGGUGAAAUUCUUAGACCUUCGGAAGACAAACAGCUGCGAAAGCGUUCGCCAAGGAUGUUCCCUUUGAUCAAGAACGAAAGUUGGGGGAUCGAAGACGAUCAGAUACCGUCGUAGUCUCAACUAUAAACUAUACCAGCUAGGGAUCGGCCAACGUUGAUAUCAAAAGACUUGGUCGGCACCUUAUGAGAAAUCAAAGCAUCUGGGUUCCGGGGGGAGUAUGGUCGCAAGGCUGAAACUUAAAGGAAUUGACGGAAGGGCACCACCAGGCGUGGAGCCUGUGGCUUAAUUUGACUCAACACGGGGAAACUUACCAGGUCCAGACAUGAGAAGGAUUGACAGAUUGACAGCUCUUUCUUGAUUUUAUGGGUGGUGGUGCAUGGCCGUUCUUAGUUGGUGGAGUGAUUUGUCUGGUUAAUUCCGUUAACGAACGAGACCCCAGCCUGCUAAAUAGCGCGCGUGUCCUCUGGCCGCGGCGAGCUUCUUAGAGGGACUAUCGCUCGUUAUAGGCGAGGGAAGUUUGGGGCAAUAACAGGUCUGUGAUGCCCUUAGAUGUUCUGGGCCGCACACGGGCUACACUGACGCGUGCAACGAGCAUACCAGCUGGCCCGACAGGGCGUAGGCUAAUCUUUUGAACUCGCGUCGUGCUAGGGAUUGACCAUUGCAAUUGUUGUCAUGCAACGAGGAAUGCCUUGUAAACGCGGGUCAUCAACCCGCAUUGAAUACGUCCCUGCCCUUUGUACACACCGCCCGUCGCUCCUACCGAUGAAUGUUCCGAUGAAAUUUUCGGAGGGCGCCUGUGAAGCGGUGCAAACCGCGGAACGGGAGGCCCGAAGUUGCUUAAAUCUGAACAUUUCGAGGAAGGAGAAGUCGUAACAAGGU
RNAcentral lists this ribosomal RNA (1210 nucleotides) under uncultured marine eukaryote. RNAcentral's name for it is "SSU rRNA". It matches the Rfam family "Eukaryotic small subunit ribosomal RNA", at positions 577 to 1800 of the family's 1831-position model. The record is from RNAcentral.